Molecule: ribosomal RNA, 453 nt
Filed under: uncultured bacterium
Lineage: Bacteria
Description: bacterial SSU rRNA
Rfam family: Bacterial small subunit ribosomal RNA
Source: RNAcentral
UACGGAAGGCAGCAGUGGGGAAUAUUGCACAAUGGGCGAAAGCCUGAUGCAGCUAUGCCGCGUGUAUGAAGAAGGCCUUAGGGUUGUAAAGUACUUUCAUCGGGGAGGAAAAACAAAACUAAUAAUUUUAUUUCUUGACGUUACCCGAAAAAGAAGCACCGGCUAACUCCGUGCCAGCAGCCGCGGUAAUACGGAGGGUGCUAGCGUUAAUCAGAAUUACUGGGCGUAAAGAGCACGUAGGUGGUUUUUUUAAGUCAGAUGUGAAAUCCCUGGGCUUAACCUAGGAACUGCAUUUUGAAACUGAAAUACUAGAGUAUCGUAGAGGGAGGUAGAAUUCUAGGUGUAGCGGUGAAAUGCGUAGAUAUCUGGAGGAUACCUGUGGCGAAAGCGGCCUCCUAAACGAAUACUGACACUGAGUGCGAAAGCGUGGGGAGCAAACAGGGAUUAGAUACC